AGGACUGAGGGCAAUUUGGCUGCAUCUGUUACCCCCAUCAACCCCCAGAGUUGAUGCUGUUCAUUUACCUGGCUACGCCAGUGUCUCCUCCUCCUCUCACCACCCAAAGUGCAUCCCUCUUGAAGCCGCACACUUGGAGACAGAGGUUGGUGUUCUCUGGACUAUUUUUUUAGUCAAAGAUGCAAGACUAGCUAUUCUCUUACUCCAGAACCUCCUACCAAGCUCAGGAAUAAGACUGAGACCCAGCAUGGUGGCACAGGCUCCUAAUCCCAGCACUCAGGAGGAAGAGGCAGGCAGAUCUCUGAG
Molecule: unclassified non-coding RNA, 306 nt
Organism: Mesocricetus auratus (golden hamster)
Lineage: Eukaryota; Metazoa; Chordata; Mammalia; Rodentia; Cricetidae
Gene: 7SK
Rfam family: 7SK RNA
About the family: 7SK was discovered as an abundant small nuclear RNA in the mid-70s but a possible function has only recently been suggested. Two independent studies have found that 7SK RNA binds the CDK9/cyclin T complex (known as elongation factor P-TEFb).
Source: Ensembl